RNAcentral lists this ribosomal RNA (392 nucleotides) under uncultured bacterium. RNAcentral's name for it is "partial 16S ribosomal RNA". It matches the Rfam family "Bacterial small subunit ribosomal RNA", at positions 523 to 918 of the family's 1533-position model. The record is from RNAcentral.
AUACGGAGGAUCCGAGCGUUAUCCGGAUUUAUUGGGUUUAAAGGGUGCGCAGGCGGCCAUUUAAGUCAGCGGUUAAAUCGUGGGGCUCAAUCCCAUUCUGCCGUUGAUACUGGGUGGCUUGAUUGCGGUCGAGGUUGGCGGAAUUCGUUGUGUAGCGGGGAAAUGCAUAGAUAUGACGAAGAAAACCGAUUGCGUAGGCAGCUGACCAGACCGCAAAUGACGCUCAUGCACGAAAGUGCGGGGAUCGAACAGGAUUAGAUACCCUGGUAGUCCGCACAGUAAACGAUGAAUACUUGUUUUCGGCGAUAUAAUGUCGGAGGCAAAGCGAAAGCGAUAAGUAUUCCACCUGGGGAGUACGCCGUCAACGGUGAAACUCAAAUGAAUUGGCGGGG